Molecule: ribosomal RNA, 769 nt
Filed under: uncultured bacterium
Lineage: Bacteria
Description: bacterial SSU rRNA
Rfam family: Bacterial small subunit ribosomal RNA
Source: RNAcentral
GACGAACGCUGGCGGCGUGCCUAAUACAUGCAAGUCGAGCGAAGUUUUUCUGGUGCUUGCACUAGAAAAACUUAGCGGCGAACGGGUGAGUAACACGUAAAGAACCUGCCUCAUAGACGGGGACAACUAUUGGAAACGAUAGCUAAUACCGGAUAACAGCAUAAAUCGCAUGAUAUAUGUUUAAAAGUUGGUUUCGGCUAACACUAGGAGAUGGCUUUGCGGUGCAUUAGCUAGUUGGCGGGGUAAAGGCCUACCAAGGCGACGAUGCAUAGCCGACCUGAGAGGGUGAUCGGCCACACUGGGACUGAGACACGGCCCAGACUCCUACGGGAGGCAGCAGUAGGGAAUCUUCCGCAAUGGGCGAAAGCCUGACGGAGCAACGCCGCGUGAGUGAAGAAGGAUUUCGGUUCGUAAAGCUCUGUUGUUAGGGAAGAAUGAUUGUAUAGUAACUAUAUACAGUAGAGACGGUACCUAACCAGAAAGCCACGGCUAACUACGUGCCAGCAGCCGCGGUAAUACGUAGGUGGCAAGCGUUGUCCGGAAUUAUUGGGCGUAAAGCGCGCGCAGGUGGUUUAAUAAGUCUGAUGUGAAAGCCCACGGCUCAACCGUGGAGGGUCAUUGGAAACUGUUAAACUUGAGUGCAGGAGAGAAAAGUGGAAUUCCUAGUGUAGCGGUGAAAUGCGUAGAGAUUAGGAGGAACACCAGUGGCGAAGGCGGCUUUUUGGCCUGUAACUGACACUGAGGCGCGAAAGCGUGGGGAGCAAACAGG